RNAcentral lists this ribosomal RNA (349 nucleotides) under Pagurus hirsutiusculus (hairy hermit crab). RNAcentral describes it as "partial 12S ribosomal RNA". Lineage: Eukaryota; Metazoa; Arthropoda; Malacostraca; Decapoda; Paguridae. The record is from RNAcentral.
AGCUUGAAGUUUGAUUCUUGCUUGAAGUUUUUAUACUAUGAUUGAAAAAUACAUGAAAAUUUUAGUGUUCCUUUAUACAUAUAAUUAAAAAUUUAGUAUAAAUUAAAUCUCAGUAUUUAAUUUUAAAAAAAAAAUUAAUUAAAAUUAGAAUUGGUAAUCAUUUUAAUUCUGACUAAAAUUUGUGCCAGCAGUCGCGGUUAUACUUAGAGGGUAAAUAAAUAUGAUUUGGUUAUAUAGUAAAUUACUUAUUAAUUAAAAUUUAUUAUUUUUUUGAAAGAGUGAAAUCAGAAUUUAAUAAUAAUAAUAAUUUUAAAAUGAAAUAGAAAGAAACUAUAAAUUUUAAUAUAUA